Molecule: transfer RNA, 73 nt
Filed under: Camelus dromedarius (Arabian camel)
Lineage: Eukaryota; Metazoa; Chordata; Mammalia; Artiodactyla; Camelidae
Also listed under: 1 other name
Rfam family: tRNA
About the family: Transfer RNA (tRNA) molecules are approximately 80 nucleotides in length.
Source: Rfam by way of RNAcentral
GAGGGUAUAGCUCAGUGGUAGAGUGUGUGCUUAGCAUGCAUGAGGUCGUGGGCUCAAUUCUCCAGUACCUCCA